RNAcentral lists this ribosomal RNA (465 nucleotides) under Vreelandella stevensii. RNAcentral's name for it is "partial 16S ribosomal RNA". It matches the Rfam family "Bacterial small subunit ribosomal RNA", at positions 338 to 795 of the family's 1533-position model. The record is from RNAcentral. Lineage: Bacteria; Pseudomonadati; Pseudomonadota; Gammaproteobacteria; Oceanospirillales; Halomonadaceae.
CCUACGGGCGGCUGCAGUGGGGAAUAUUGGACAAUGGGGGCAACCCUGAUCCAGCCAUGCCGCGUGUGUGAAGAAGGCCCUCGGGUUGUAAAGCACUUUCAGUGAGGAAGAACGCCUGGUGGUUAAUACCCAUCAGGAAAGACAUCACUCACAGAAGAAGCACCGGCUAACUCCGUGCCAGCAGCCGCGGUAAUACGGAGGGUGCGAGCGUUAAUCGGAAUUACUGGGCGUAAAGCGCGCGUAGGUGGCUUGAUAAGCCGGUUGUGAAAGCCCCGGGCUCAACCUGGGAACGGCAUCCGGAACUGUCAAGCUAGAGUGCAGGAGAGGAAGGUAGAAUUCCCGGUGUAGCGGUGAAAUGCGUAGCGCUCGGGAGGAAUACCAGUGGCGAAGGCGGCCUUCUGGACUGACACUGACACUGAGGUGCGAAAGCGUGGGUGGCAAACAGGAUUAGAUACCCGGGUAGUC